AGAAUGCUGUUACUAUUCAUUUUCCCAAAUAAAAAGCAUGUCUAGAAACAGUCAAGUGUAGUUUUUGUGUUGAACAAACAAUGAAGAAGCCCAGGAUUGUGAGAAACUAAGGGAUUUUCCUCAGUCAGCGAGCAUUGACUUUGAAUGGGCCCCGGAGGAGGAGGCUUGUGGAGCAGGAUGGAUGCCUGGCUGGCUGGGGUGUUGAACAGCAGCGAGUGCGGAGAAGUAGAAGAAGAAGAAUCCCUCGUUCACAGUGCACAGUAAAUUCCUGUUGCUCGGAUUGAAUGUGGCCCUUUGUACUGUGGCCGAAAUCAUCGACCUCGAAGCUCCAAAAGACUCUGUUGGGUCCUGUCAGAGCUUUCCGGGACAACUGGAUCCCUCGAACAAGUCUCGUGCUUCGACAAGAAUAUUCAUCUCCACUCAUGGUUGCUGUUGUUGCAGCUCUGCAACUGCAGCAGACGGAAAUCGUCGCACGAAAGAUACCUCGGCGAACAUCGGAUACAAUAAUUUUUUUUUUUUAUCGAGCACUGUGCCCCCCUACCCC
RNAcentral lists this long non-coding RNA (544 nucleotides) under Physcomitrium patens. Its description in RNAcentral is "long non-coding RNA (PPAT_LNC000641)". Lineage: Eukaryota; Viridiplantae; Streptophyta; Bryopsida; Funariales; Funariaceae. The record is from RNAcentral.